UACAGAGGGUGCGAGCGUUGUUCGGAAUUAUUGGGCGUAAAGGGCGCGUAGGCGGCGCCACAAGUCACUUGUGAAAACUCUGGGCUCAACUCAGAGCCUGCAAGCGAAACUGUGGUGCUGGAGUAUGGGAGAGGUGCGUGGAAUUCCCGGUGUAGCGGUGAAAUGCGUAGAUAUUGGGAGGAACACCAGUGGCGAAGGCGGCUCACUGGACCGGUUCUGACGCUGAGGCGCGAAAGCGUGGGGAGCAAACGGG
RNAcentral lists this ribosomal RNA (253 nucleotides) under uncultured bacterium. Its description in RNAcentral is "partial 16S ribosomal RNA". It matches the Rfam family "Bacterial small subunit ribosomal RNA", at positions 524 to 776 of the family's 1533-position model. The record is from RNAcentral.